This is a long non-coding RNA of Brienomyrus brachyistius, 1267 nucleotides long. RefSeq lists it as uncharacterized. Lineage: Eukaryota; Metazoa; Chordata; Actinopteri; Osteoglossiformes; Mormyridae. The record is from RefSeq and is a predicted model, not a curated record. The transcript is spliced from 2 exons.
UAAUUACUGCCAGUCUACAAUAUGACCAUUCUAGACUUUCUGGAGUAGCUAUAGAGAAACAGCAGCAUGGAGCAGCGUGUGGCGUAGUGGGCUAAGCCAGUGUGCCAGUCGUCAGAAGGUUGCCAGUUCAAACCCAGCCUCUGCACAUCUGUGGAUCCUUAAGCAAGGGCCUUAACCCCCAGCUCCCUGGGUGCACUUUACUCUGCAAAGAGCAAGCUGAGGGAGGUGUAAAGGCAAUUUCCCCACAGGGAUCAAUAAAGGGGUCACAGGGAGUCCAGAAUCUUUGCCGGAAACUACAGGCACAAGGCGGGGAAUAACUCAGGACGGGACGCCAGCCCAUUGCAGGGCAGACACAGUCACAAUUUGGAAAGUAUAAUUAAUGGACUGUGGGGUGGGGGAGGGGUGGGGGGCUGGAGAAACCCCAUAACAAGCCAGAGAAUCUUCAAUCUUGAGAGAACAUGCUCAAGUCCCAGAAGUGUGAGGCAACAGUGCUAACUCCUGUGCUACAGCACCACCAAAACAUUCAGUCAUGCGUUUUAUUUGUAUGCAGUUCUAAGCUUAAUACGCAGUGCACAACUAGAAACAAUUCGCUGACUAACCAGAUUAGGGUGCUGUGCAUAUAAUCGGAAGGUUUCCCAAGUCCCAGACUUGGCAGAAUGAUUUCACCGGCUUUCUUUAAAAGAAAAAUCCAUGUUACUUUUGAUAAAAGCGCCUGCUUAGUUAAUGUGAUGUAUCUGUCAUGAUUUCAAAUUUGCCUGCCAAUGCCUACAAAAAGAAAACAGAGGAAAAAUUUGAAACAGCUUUACGUUCAGAAUCUCUCUCAAGUUGAUCAUCAGAACGUAAUAGCUGGCUAGCUAACUGUGCAUUGGAUAUAUUUAUUGCAUGAUGCUAUAUAGAACGCCCAAACGUUUGCCAUUUUUAACGUGCCAUUUUGCAGUUAGAGCAACUUAAUUUAGGAAUUACCAAGGAUAACAUUUUGAUAUUGUUGUGUCUCAUGAAUAACUUUGACAAAUGAGCCAUACAAGUUGCUCUUGGGUGUUGUGUAGUUCAGUGAGUUAUGUAUGUAGAUCUGCAUACAGAAGGUUGUGGGUUUGAAUCUUGUGGCUGCGUGGGUCAGCACUGAACCCUUAUGAAAGGCUCUUAACCCCCAGAGUGCUGGCUGGCCCUGCAGUUUAAACCUUCAUCUGUCAUGUAGCGCAAGAUGGUGUUUGUGGAAAAAACAAGGAAUGCAUCAGCACCUUGUCUCAAUAAAAUGCAUUUUACAUGA